Solea solea (common sole) is the source of this 1326-nucleotide long non-coding RNA. RefSeq lists it as uncharacterized. The transcript is spliced from 4 exons. The record is from RefSeq and is a predicted model, not a curated record. Lineage: Eukaryota; Metazoa; Chordata; Actinopteri; Pleuronectiformes; Soleidae.
UAUCGAGCAGAGUCACGUCGUGCGCUGCGCGUGUCUUUCUUUUUUAUGAACCCCCUUUUACAGGAAAUAGGAAAUGCAUCCAUUAUAAGAAAGCCAUUUCCUUUGGAAAGGGAUUGCCAGUUCAAGUGGGACCAUCUCGAUGCGAUGAUUUCUUCAAAUAAAAAAGAAGAAAAAAUCCCUGCCACAGUGAGGAGAGAUUCCACUCUGCCAGCAGAACAAAUUUCUCUUCAUGCUCAUCAUUAUAACCACACCAGGCUGCACCCGAUGGCACCAAGACGUCUUAACACGGCGACAACACUAAACCUCGGCGCGCAGAUGGAAAAUCCCGACGCGAGCACUAAGUCCAAGCGCUAAGUAUGUGUUGCAACUCGUUCCACAAGUGAGGAGCCACAGAGGAGAUCAGUCUGUUCUGUUUGGCUCGCCUCGCGCGCGGGGACGGCAGUGCCAGGACGGGAUUCCAUAGUGGCAAGACUGUGGCCAAGAACGAGCGCAGACUAGUGUCAAGUAUAUAAAUGAGAGCGCAGAGACACAGGCGUCGCUUUGUACGCAAACAUGAGUGACUUGGAUUUGAUUCUCGCUGCCUUGUGCGACCAGUGCAGGUGGAUGAGCACUCGGAGUGACGUGUGCACUUUGAGGCUGAUGCCAUGAGUCAGGGUUUGACACAGGUUGCUACUAAAAAAGCAGUAUUUUUAUGUAUGUUCUAUUUAAAAACAGUUCAAUUGAAGCUAUUUAUUCGUUUCUAGGUGCGGGAAUGAUAGAAAAUACAACUGCAGCUCAGUAUUCAUAACAUCACGGUUCUUUUUUUAAAUUCCUGCUCCGAGCACAGUAUUUUAUACUCAUUUCGAAGAUAUAAUGAGAUAAAAAAAAAACUGCUAAUUGUCAAUAUGGGUGAAAGCUUCUGCUUCAAAAUUGACCUGUUAGGAAAAGAUAGAGAUGCAGAGCAGCAAAAAAAAACAUCCCCCCUCCUCGUCCUCCUCUUCCACCACUGCAUUGUUUCUUCUCUUUUUUCACACUCCCCCCAAAACAGACACUCGAGCUCACCUCGCCCACCUCUCCGUUGCCCUAAGAUGUGCCGACACUUGUUGUCAGUGCCUGCAUCUUGUGUUUAUUCACCUUUUUGUGUGAUAUUAUUUCUUCACAAAUCUUACAGUAUUUUUGAGUGCUCAAAAAUACAAAAAAUAGGAAAGGAAAGGAUGAGCCAAUCUUUUUCAGCAGCUGUGGCAUGGAGUGUGUGUGAGUGUGUGUGUGUGUGCCUGCCUCAGCUGGGCCGGCUGGACUGUGAAUUUAACAGUCGCCACUGGAAACACACACAUCAUAUAUGAGUGA